CAGGCUUACACAAAGAAAUGCCUCAAUCCUUUCUAAAACCAAAAAGCUUCUAUUUCACUUUGCAAACACACAGGGCAAGUUCUAGGUAUCGCAUGCAAGCACGGAAUGCAAGUAAAGUAUCUCACACACACUUAGCAUGUAACUCAUUCUGAAUUAGUUUAUCAACACAUUCAUACGAGCGUUCAAGGGAGACAAGAUGUGAAUAAUUAAGGCAUAAAUUUACAGGUCCACAACUGAGCCUAGACAUCACACUCUCAAGUUCGUUUUAGUUGU
This 273-nucleotide long non-coding RNA is filed under the name Nicotiana benthamiana. RNAcentral describes it as "long non-coding RNA (NBEN_LNC031650)". The record is from RNAcentral. Lineage: Eukaryota; Viridiplantae; Streptophyta; Magnoliopsida; Solanales; Solanaceae.